GCAGAAGUGUUGCUAUGUGACAUCUGAGGCUAGGUCAUAAAGGAAGUUCAGCUCCUUCUUUGAUCUCUUCAUUUUUUUGCUCUUCAAAUGAGGGAAGCACAUUCUGAAGAAGACCAGGCAGAUACAUGGACAGGUUACAUGCAGGUGUUUUCACCCGCAGCUGAGUUCCCAGUUGAUAGCAUUAACAAUACUCAUGACUUGAAUCUGGAAAUAGGAAGAUAAGUCCCAAAUGGAACACCCAACCUCAAGGAGCUUAGGAGGCUGCUAAAGCUGAUGGAAGUGGCAGAGCAAGACAUGUAAGAAGAAGCUACAUAAGUGUUUUUGUUAUGCUUCAGAGACCUCUGAAAUUCUACGGCUAGAGGAGAGAAUACCUGAGUAUGAAAACACAAGAACAAUAUGACCUAAAAUUUGUAUACUAUAAAGACUUUCCUUGGGAUACAUACAACCCAUUCUGCAGACUACUGCCAAUUGAAGGUGGACAGUAUAAUCAUGCAGCAAUUCCAUACAUUUCUCAAAGCUCAUCACGCUUCUAGAGGCUGCCUGUGUUCUUUGGCUUGUGGACCUCCUCCAUCUUCAAAGCAGGAACAACAAACAGAGCCCUCAUGACACAUCUUUCCGAUUAUAGCUGAAAACGUGUUCAGAUUUUCAGGAUUUACGACCAGUACAAAGAAACUAUACUGUGGACCUGAAAAUAGAGGAAAUUGGAGUUUUCAGAAGAUGGUUCAAGAAAACAAAAGGAACUAGAAUUGAGACAGUGAACAGAGCUCUGAGGAGAACACCAAGGACUAGCUGUCACUGCCAGAUCAGCUCCUAGCAACACCAAAGCCUCACUGAUGUUGCCAGACCAGCUCCCAGAUGUUGGAAACGGCUUUGUUCUUUCUUAGUAAAAAUGAACUCCUUAUAUUAUUGAAAUCAGGGGCACCUGGGUGGCUCAGUGGUUGAGCAUCUGCCUUUGGCUCAUGUCGUGAUCCUGGA
Canis lupus familiaris (dog) is the source of this 975-nucleotide long non-coding RNA. RefSeq lists it as uncharacterized. Lineage: Eukaryota; Metazoa; Chordata; Mammalia; Carnivora; Canidae. The record is from RefSeq and is a predicted model, not a curated record. The transcript is spliced from 9 exons.